GGUGACGUGUCCGAGCGGCCGAAGGUGCAACACUCGAAAUGUUGUGUAGUGAAAGCUACCGCGGGUUCAAAUCCCGCCGUCACCGCCA
Molecule: transfer RNA, 88 nt
Filed under: Leucobacter exalbidus
Lineage: Bacteria; Bacillati; Actinomycetota; Actinomycetes; Micrococcales; Microbacteriaceae
Description: tRNA-Ser
Rfam family: tRNA
About the family: Transfer RNA (tRNA) molecules are approximately 80 nucleotides in length. Their secondary structure includes four short double-helical elements and three loops (D, anti-codon, and T loops).
Source: RNAcentral